Molecule: ribosomal RNA, 492 nt
Filed under: uncultured bacterium
Lineage: Bacteria
Description: partial 16S ribosomal RNA
Rfam family: Bacterial small subunit ribosomal RNA
Source: RNAcentral
AGUGAACGCUGGCGGUAGGCCUAACACAUGCAAGUCGAACGGCAGCACAGUAAGAGCUUGCUCUUACGGGUGGCGAGUGGCGGACGGGUGAGGAAUACAUCGGAAUCUACUUUUUCGUGGGGGAUAACGUAGGGAAACUUACGCUAAUACCGCAUACGACCUACGGGUGAAAGCAGGGGAUCUUCGGACCUUGCGCGAUUGAAUGAGCCGAUGUCGGAUUAGCUAGUUGGCGGGGUAAAGGCCCACCAAGGCGACGAUCCGUAGCUGGUCUGAGAGGAUGAUCAGCCACACUGGAACUGAGACACGGUCCAGACUCCUACGGGAGGCAGCAGUGGGGAAUAUUGGACAAUGGGCGCAAGCCUGAUCCAGCCAUGCCGCGUGGGUGAAGAAGGCCUUCGGGUUGUAAAGCCCUUUUGUUGGGAAAGAAAAGCAGCAGGUUAAUACCCCGCUGUUCUGACGGUACCUAAAGAAUAAGCACCGGCUAACUUCGUG